Molecule: ribosomal RNA, 1113 nt
Filed under: Triticum aestivum (bread wheat)
Lineage: Eukaryota; Viridiplantae; Streptophyta; Magnoliopsida; Poales; Poaceae
Description: partial small subunit ribosomal RNA
Source: RNAcentral
AUGUCUUCCAGCUCGGCACCGGUCGUCCUCAACCUCGGACCUCCACCAGCGGAAAAGCUUAGCAAGGGGAACUACCUCUUGUGGAAGGCCCAGGUCAUGCCCGGCCUGCGAGGAGCGCAGGUCACGGGGCUCCUGGAUGGGACCGACGCGGCGCCCCCGACCACGGUGGAGCAGCAGAAGUCGGACACGACCAUGGAAGUGGUACCCAAUCCACUUUAUGCGCCAUGGCUAUCAAAGGACCAACAGGUCCUCAGCUACCUGAUGAACUCCCUCUCCAAAGAAGUCCUCACGCAGUUCGUCGGUAAGGAAAAUACCUAUGAUUUGUGGACCGGCAUCACCACCCUGUUUGCAUCGCAGUCCCAAUCCCGCAUCACCAACUUGAGGAUCGCCAUCACCACGACAAAGAAAGGCAGCAUGUCCAGCACGGCAUACAUCUCCAAGAUGAAGAGUCUCGGGGAUGAACUCGCAGCGGCAGGACGUCCGGUCUCCGAUCCCGAGAUGGUGGACUACGUGCUCGCCGGAUUGAAUCGCGACUAUGAUCUGGUGGUGGCGGCCAUUGGUGCUGUCAAGACCUCCAUCAACAUUGACGAGCUCUUUGCUCAGAUCGCCGCCUUUGACCAGCGCAUGGAGAUGCUGGGCGAUGGAGAAGAAGGCGGCUUCAAUACUUCAGCGAACCUGGCGUACAGAGGCCGCGGCCAGUACAGGUCCAGGGCACGCGCACGUGGGACCAGGGGGCGCGGUCGAGGGAGGCGCUCUCCCUCUGCUCCAAGCAGCAGCAACAGGGGCGCUCGAGGUGGCCGUCCCCAACAACAGAAUCAGCAGCGUCAACAGAACCGGGAUUAUCCCGAGUGCCAGAUCUGUCUCAAGCAUCAUCGAGGAGGCGCUCGUGCAUGCUGGGAUCGUUAUGAGGAGGACGAGGAGUACGAGGAGAAGGAGGCAAACGCUGUCACCGACUCCUACGGCAUCGACACAAAUUGGUAUGCGGAUACUGGUGCUACCAACCACAUCACGGGGGAACUCGACAAGCUGACCAUCAGGAACAAAUACCGUGGACAUGACCAAGUGCACACUGCAAGUGGUUCUGGACUUGGACACGAGGAGGGUUCUUCUUAG